Impatiens glandulifera is the source of this 163-nucleotide long non-coding RNA. RefSeq lists it as uncharacterized. The record is from RefSeq and is a predicted model, not a curated record. NCBI's taxonomy places the organism in Eukaryota, Viridiplantae, Streptophyta, Magnoliopsida, Ericales, Balsaminaceae. The transcript has 3 exons.
GUGGCAGGUUGUGUUUUUCUAAAGUAUGAGACCAAGGAACAAGCUCUUGCAGCAAUAGAAGCUCUUAAUGGCAAGCACAAAAUGGAGGACCUUUCUUGUGAAUGAGUUGAAACAACAACACCUUCUUCAUGAUCGAAGUAAAGUGUAUAAGUUGGAGAGGGAG